RNAcentral lists this ribosomal RNA (551 nucleotides) under uncultured Glomeromycotina. RNAcentral describes it as "SSU rRNA". It matches the Rfam family "Eukaryotic small subunit ribosomal RNA", at positions 548 to 1098 of the family's 1831-position model. Lineage: Eukaryota; Fungi; Glomeromycota. The record is from RNAcentral.
UUGGAGGGCAAGUCUGGUGCCAGCAGCCGCGGUAAUUCCAGCUCCAAUAGCGUAUAUUAAAGUUGUUGCAGUUAAAAAGCUCGUAGUUGAACUUCGGGGUCUACCCAUUGGUCAGGCUUAAUUGUCUGUACUGGUGAGAUGGAUCUCUACCUUCUGAGGAACUUUCAUGCCAUUUAGUUGGUGUGAUGGGAAAUCAGGACUAUUACUUUGAAAAAAUUAGAGUGUUUAAAGCAGGCUAACGUCUGAAUACAUUAGCAUGGAAUAAUGAAAUAGGACGGACUGAUUCUAUUUCGUUGGUUUCUAGGAUCACCGUAAUGAUUAAUAGGGAUAGUUGGGGGCAUUAGUAUUCAAUUGUCAGAGGUGAAAUUCUUGGAUUUAUUGAAGACUAACUACUGCGAAAGCAUUUGCCAAGGAUGUUUUCAUUAAUCAAGAACGAAAGUUAGGGGAUCGAAGACGAUCAGAUACCGUCGUAGUCUUAACCAUAAACUAUGCCGACUAGGGAUCGGACGAAGUUAAUUUUUUAAUGACGCGUUCGGCGCCUUACGGGAAAC